AAAAAGACAAACCCUGCUUUCCGUGUCCAACGUUUGACCGUUUGUCUUAUUUGAAAAAAUUAUGAAAAAAAUUUAAAAGAUAAGUCACGCAUAAAGUAUUAAUCAUGUUUUAUCAUCUAACAACAAUGAAAAUACUAAUUAUAAAAAAAUUUCAUAUAAAACGGACAGUCAAACGUUGACACAGAAAUCAGGGUUUGCCUUUUUU
Molecule: microRNA precursor, 205 nt
Organism: Oryza sativa Japonica Group (Japanese rice)
Lineage: Eukaryota; Viridiplantae; Streptophyta; Magnoliopsida; Poales; Poaceae
Rfam family: MIR812 microRNA precursor family
Source: Rfam